This 439-nucleotide ribosomal RNA is filed under the name uncultured bacterium. Its description in RNAcentral is "bacterial SSU rRNA". It matches the Rfam family "Bacterial small subunit ribosomal RNA", at positions 958 to 1397 of the family's 1533-position model. The record is from RNAcentral.
AACGCGAAGAACCUUACCUGGGCUUGAACCGCACAGGACCAUCUUUGGAAACAGAGACUUCCCGCAAGGGACCUGUGUAGAGGUGCUGCAUGGCUGUCGUCAGCUCGUGCCGUGAGGUGUUGGGUUAAGUCCCGCAACGAGCGCAACCCUUACUCGUAGUUGCCACCCGCAAGGGGGAACUCUACGAGGACUGCUCCGGAUAACGGAGAGGAAGGUGGGGAUGAGGUCAAGUCAGCAUGGCCUUUAUGUCCAGGGCUACACACGUGUUACAAUGCGCGCCACAAAGCGUCGCGAACCCGCGAGGGGGAGCUAAUCGCAAAAAAGCGCGCUCAGUUCGGAUUGCAGUCUGCAACUCGACUGCAUGAAGCCGGAAUCGCUAGUAAUGGCGCAUCAGAACGGCGCCGUGAAUACGUUCCCGGGCCUUGUACACACCGAUAGC